This is a non-coding RNA of Microcebus murinus (gray mouse lemur), 3442 nucleotides long. The record is from RefSeq and is a predicted model, not a curated record. NCBI's taxonomy places the organism in Eukaryota, Metazoa, Chordata, Mammalia, Primates, Cheirogaleidae.
GCCUCCGCUUUCCCGCUCUGCUCAGGGACCGCGACAGGACUGGCGGUGGGGCGGGAGGGCGAGACGCGGCUUUCCCUUCGGCGCCCGGUGCUUUUAUUACAGAUUAUCUUUGGAAGUCAAUACAGGUGCCAUGGAGUAAUGUAAGAUAAACAGGACUGAUAGUCAACCCUGCCCGGUUUGAGGAUGAGUCACUGUUUUCAAACUGCACAGUUUUAAGCAAAGCACACAUUCGGGAAUUCCCAAAAGGACAUGUAUACCACCUGAACCUCACUAUGAGGUGAGACGACAACUCGAAGCUCAGAAAGGUUAAGCAACUUGCUCUGGAUGUAUCAGGAUUUGAAUAUAGGCCUGGCGAACACAAGAGCUCUUUCCAUAAUGCUGCACUACUUAAUAAUAAAUAUUGCUAUAAAUAUUUAACAAUAUAUGCCUUUUAUUGUGUGCCUGAUAAGUGCUAGGCACUUGGUGGAUAUUUCUUUCGUCCUUUUAGCAACUCUGCAGGGUCAGUAUUUACCUUCCCACAGAGAUGCAAUAGUUUGCUGUGGGUAGUAAGUGCUAAGCCAGGUUUAUCCAGCUCCAAAACCUCCCUGCUCCCGUUUUGCCACAUUUCCUGCUGAUCUAGUAGCAUUCUCUCUUCACCUGGAGAUAUUAUUUGCCCUGAGGUCUUUGCUCCUCUACAUGUCCUUACAUCUCCAUUUUGUACCUCUUGGGUUUGACUGCAGUGCUUAAUAUAGAUUAUGCUUUUGGCCAUAAUGCAGAUGUUUUCUUUUACUAUGUAGUACUUAAACAAGAAUGUUGUGAAGUCUUAGUUUAUCUGCCAACUUUAUUGCCCGGCUCAGAAGCCUUCAAGGUCUCCUGGGCAGAAUAAACCCAACCUUCACAGUCUAGCUCUCAUGUGCCUGGUCACGAGGCUCCCAGAAUGCCGAGGCUUCCUCUGUGCACACUCCUGACCACACUUCUCCUGGGUUUUGCAGCUCAGCAGCCCCUGCACCCAGCAGAACAUAUCACCCAAAGUGGCAUUCAAUAAAUGUGUCUGAAGAGAGGUAAAAAGAAAGCUCUAUACCAUGAGAGACAAAGACCUCACCCAGGCAACAGGAAGGAGGCCUUGGAGACUGAGUGAAAUUUAAUUGAGUAGAUGAGGUGAGGCUUCAGGGAAGGCAACAUGCUCGUGGCACCAUCACCUUUAGCCUUACCUAUCUGCUGGGCUAGCCACCUGCACAAAAUGCUUUCACAUAAUAAUCCUAAUUGUUACCACUUACAGAGAGCAUGUGGUGACAUGCCAGGCGCUAGGUGCUUUACAGAUUGCUUUCCUAUUUAUGUAUUUAUUUAUUAUGAUUAUUAUUUACUUUGUGUCUCUCUCCACUAGCUCCACACAAGCUCCAGGGGGGCAGAUUUUGUCUGUUGUGUUCAAAACAGUGCUUAGCACACAGUAAGUACUAAAUAGUGACUGAAUUCUCCACAAAGCCCCCUGAAGGAUGAUUUUUAACCCCUACUUUACAGAUGAGCAAUUUGAUGCUUAGAGUGGCAAGUGACUUUUGCAAAGGUAUAGAUCCAACAAAAGGCAUAGCCAAGACUAAAAAUAGAUCAGGAUUCUCUCUCUCCAUUACCCUUGCAACUGUCUGGAUGCAGAAAUGUCCACUCCUGGCCUUGAAGUUGGGAAGCACCACCAGUCUGCAGGACUCCGUAGUUGACUAAUAAUGCUAACACAAUACCAAUUAACAUUCACUGUGCACUUGCUACAUACCAAGCAGUGUUCCCAGUGUUUCACGUUUUGACUCACCACAGGAAUGACAGUCAUGCACUGCAUAAUGACAUUUCAGUCAACGAAGGACAGCAUAUACAAUGGUGAUCCCAUAAGAUUACAGUGGCAUAUAUAGAAACCUGAUAAAUGGCACCUGGUAUUGGCACUGUAGAUCAAGUAGAGGAAAUUAUUGAUAUUCAGUAAUGGUGCUGGGACAUGUGGUUUCCCAUAUGAAAAAUAUAUAUACCUUCUAGGUUUGUGUAAGUACACUCUAUGAUGUUCACACAAUGACAAACUCGCCUAAUGAUGCAUUUCUCAGAAAGUAUCCUCGUGGUUAAGCGAUGCAUGACUAUACUUGCUAUGAUCGGUUUUUGACAGUUGAAGAACCUGAGGCCCCAGGGAGGUUUAAAAAUGUUGACAAAAUCACAGAGCUAGGAAAUUCACAAUCCAGCCAUCUGGGUCCAGCACCCACUCUUCGCCACUGCCCAUGCUGCCUCAGUGACAUGCUGUCAUAGCUGUCCUUUUCUAGGAUGGCAAACCAAGGGUCAGGACAGUGCGCAAAGGCAGGGCCAUUCUGCUUGGCCUGUUAGACAAGCUCUCGUUUCCUGUGAUCUUUUUAAGCUUCAUAGUCACCCUAUGAAGUCACAUAUGAGGAAAUGGGUUCAGAGACCCUAUAAGGGCCAGAAGUAGACAGAUGAGACAGAAAGUAGAUUAGUGGUUGCCUAGGGCCGCAGGGUUGAGAGAAAAUGACGAGUGACUGCUAAUGGGUACUUUUAGGGAUGAUGAAAAUGAAAGUGUUUUAAAAAUGAUGAUGAUUGCACAACUGUGAAUAUACUAAAAAAACCCACUGAAUUGUACACUUUAAAUGGGUGAAUUACGUGGUAAAUGAAUUACAGUCAUGCUCCACAUAAGGACAUUUUGGUCAAUGACAGAUCACAUGUAUGAUGGUGGUCCCAUACAUUAUAAUACUGUAUUUUUACUGUACCUUUUCAAAGUUUGGAUAUGUCUAGAUACACAAAUAGCAUUGUGUUACAGUUGCCUACAGUAUUCGGUACAGUAAUGUGCUGUCCAGGUUUGUAGCCUAAGAACACCCAGUACCAUACAGACUAGAUUGUCAUAGGCUGCAUCGUCUAGGUUUGUAUCACUCUACGAUGUUGGCACAAUGACGAAGUCCAUAACGACACAUUUCUUAGAACAUCUCCUCCAUUGUUAAGUGAUGUAUGACUAUAUGUCUUAAUAAAACUGUGCUGGGUUUUGUGGUUGUUUUGUUUUCUAAAAAGGGGGGCCACAUGGAAUGAAGUGGCAGAGGUGGCAUUUCAAUAAGCUUCAGAUCAAAAACCUUGGGACCAUCGUCACCUCCUCUUUCCCUUUCAUGUCUCACAUCUGAUUAUCAGCAGACAAAAUGUAUCUGAGGCAUGUUCCCGCUUCUCUGACCCCACAGCCUGGGCCCCACCACCCUCUCAUCUGAACUAAUGCACCCCUCCUAAGUGGUCUCCUUGCUGCCCCCUUGUUCCCUGUGGUCUGUUCUCUGCAGAGCAGCCAGAGCAAUCCUUUGAAAGCAUUUCUGUCGGAUCAUUUCCCUCUUCGGCUCAGAAAUGUCCAAUGGCCCCCAAAUAAAAUUCCCUUACAAUUCACAUUUGGCCCUGUCCACCUUCCCAACCUAUUGCCCACUAGCCACACUUCCUCCUUUGCUACCCUCAAAUA